Molecule: unclassified non-coding RNA, 357 nt
Filed under: uncultured Trechispora
Lineage: Eukaryota; Fungi; Basidiomycota; Agaricomycetes; Polyporales; Polyporaceae
Description: sequence contains ITS1
Rfam family: 5.8S ribosomal RNA (bases 1-105)
Source: RNAcentral
GAAAUGCGAUAAGUAAUGUGAAUUGCAGAAUUCAGUGAAUCAUCGAAUCUUUGAACGCACCUUGCGCUCCUUGGUAUUCCGAGGAGCAUGCCUGUUUGAGUGUCUUGAAGUCAUCAACCCCAAGCGUUUUGUGCGUUCUGGCGGUUGGAGCUGGGGGCUGCUGCCGUGAGGCUGCUCCCCUCAAAUGCAUCGGUUGGACCUGUGGGUCGAACUCGACUGGGCGUUGUACCAUCCUCGCUCUUACCCGAGACGUUCCCCUUUGUCGCGUCCUUCCGCAGACCCCUGCCCGUUGGAGUUGGCGGUCAACACUUUUGAAAUUCUGACCUCAAAUCAGGUAGGACUACCCGCUGAACUUAA